UUUAUGUGAGAAAAAGGUUAUACUAUCAAUCUAAUAAGCUAGAGACAAACAAUAUACAUUAAUAUAUUGAAGUAGACAUAGCAUGAAAUUUUACAUUAUAUAGUGAUGAAAUAAUUGCAUGUUUGUAAUACUUACAUCUAAAAAUAAAUGACUAAAAUUUUCAAGCUUGUAUAUGCUAUGUUCCUCUCUUUUGUUCUAUUUUUCAUUGCAACUGAAGUUAGAGGAGCAUUUUUGGAUUCCUGCAAGUCGAGUUCUGAUUGUGCUUCAACUGAUUGGUGCCAUGUUCCUUUGAAUGCAACAUGCCACUGGGGUCGUUGUUUCUGCAUUUAAUCAGCAACUGAGAUAGAUAUCUCCAACAUUUUUAUUUUAUUGUAUUUUGCUCUUUUUGUUUUUUCAUAGCUACAAAAUUAAGCAUAUUCAAUAUAUUUUGCAAGAACUUCAAUUAUAGUUCUGAAUUAAAAUUA
Vicia villosa (hairy vetch) is the source of this 464-nucleotide long non-coding RNA. RefSeq lists it as uncharacterized. Lineage: Eukaryota; Viridiplantae; Streptophyta; Magnoliopsida; Fabales; Fabaceae. The transcript has 2 exons. The record is from RefSeq and is a predicted model, not a curated record.